RNAcentral lists this ribosomal RNA (1499 nucleotides) under anaerobic digester metagenome. RNAcentral's name for it is "bacterial SSU rRNA". It matches the Rfam family "Bacterial small subunit ribosomal RNA". The record is from RNAcentral.
AGAGUUUGAUCCUGGCUCAGGACGAACGCUGGCGGCGUGCUUCAGACAUGCAAGUCGAGCGGGCGGAGGCCGAACCGCAAGGGGAGGCUGAAGCUAGCGGCGAACGGGUGAGUAACACGUGGGUAAUCUGCCCGGAAGACUGGGAUAACGGUCCGAAAGGGCCGCUAAUACCGGAUAAUGUCGUUUUUCCGCAUGGGGAGACGAAGAAAGGCUUCGGUCACUUUCGGAUGAGCCCGCGACCCAUCAGCUAGUUGGUGAGGUAAAGGCUCACCAAGGCGACGACGGGUAGCCGGUCUGAGAGGAUGGUCGGCCACACUGGGACUGAGNNNNNNNNNNNNNNNNNNNNNNNUUGGGCAAUGGGCGAAAGCCUGACCCAGCGACGCCGCGUGAGGGAAGAAGGCCUUCGGGUCGUAAACCUCUGUCAUCGGGGACGAAGGAAGUGACGGUACCCGAGGAGGAAGCCCCUGCUAACUACGUGCCAGCAGCCGCGGUAAUACGUAGGGGGCGAGCGUUGUCCGGAGUUAUUGGGCGUAAAGGGCGUGUAGGCGGCCUGUUAAGUCAGGUGUGAAAUUUCAGGGCUUAACCCUGAAACUGCGUUUGAAACUGGCAGGCUUGAGGACAGGAGAGGGAAGUGGAAUUCCCGGUGUAGCGGUGGAAUGCGUAGAUAUCGGGAGGAACACCAGUGGCGAAGGCGGCUUCCUGGACUGUACCUGACGCUGAGGCGCGAAAGCUAGGGGAGCAAACAGGAUUAGAUACCCUGGUAGUCCUAGCCGUAAACGAUGAGUGCUAGGUGUGGGAGGUUAAAAUCCUUCCGUGCCGGAGUUAACGCAAUAAGCACUCCGCCUGGGGAGUACGGCCGCAAGGCUAAAACUCAAAGGAAUUGACGGGGGCCCGCACAAGCAGUGGAGCGUGUGGUUUAAUUCGACGCAACGCGCAGAACCUUACCAGGGCUUGACAUCAUGGUGCCAGCCGUGGAAACACGGUCUUCCGUAGCGAUACGGACGCCAUGACAGGUGUUGCAUGGUUGUCGUCAGCUCGUGUCGUGAGAUGUUGGGUUAAGUCCCGCAACGAGCGCAACCCCUAUCUGGUGUUGCCAACGGGUAAAGCCGGGGACUCACCAGAGACUGCCGGAGACGAUCUGGAGGAAGGUGGGGAUGAUGUCAAAUCAUCAUGGCCCUUAUGCCCUGGGCCACACACGCGCUACAAUGGCCGGUACAGCGGGCAGCUAAGGAGCAAUCCGGAGCGAAUCCCAAAAAGCCGGUCUCAGUUGGGAUCGGGGGCUGAAACUCGUCCCCGUGAACACGGAAUUGCUAGUAAUCGCGGAUCAGCCACGCCGCGGUGAAUACGUUCCCGGGCCUUGUACACACCGCCCGUCAAGCCAUGGGAGCUGGCAACACCCGAAGUCGGUGAUCCAACCCGCAAGGGAGGAAGCCGCCGAAGGUGGGGCUGGUGACUGGGGCUAAGUCGUAACAAGGUAGCCGUAUCGGAAGGUGCGGCUG